This 807-nucleotide ribosomal RNA is filed under the name uncultured bacterium. RNAcentral describes it as "bacterial SSU rRNA". It matches the Rfam family "Bacterial small subunit ribosomal RNA", at positions 1 to 808 of the family's 1533-position model. The record is from RNAcentral.
GCCCUUAGAGUUUGAUCCUGGCUCAAGAUGAACGCUGGCGGCGUGCCUAACACAUGCAAGUCGAGCGAAGCACUUUACUUGAUUUCUUCGGAUUGAAGGUAUAGUGACUGAGCGGCGGACGGGUGAGUAACGCGUGGGUAACCUGCCUCAUACAGGGGGAUAACAGUUAGAAAUGACUGCUAAUACCGCAUAAGACCACAGCACCGCAUGGUGCGGGGGUAAAAACUCCGGUGGUAUGAGAUGGACCCGCGUCUGAUUAGCUAGUUGGUAAGGUAAGGGCUUACCAAGGCGACGAUCAGUAGCCGACCUGAGAGGGUGACCGGCCACAUUGGGACUGAGACACGGCCCAAACUCCUACGGGAGGCAGCAGUGGGGAAUAUUGCACAAUGGGGGAAACCCUGAUGCAGCGACGCCGCGUGAGUGAUGAAGUAUUUCGGUAUGUAAAGCUCUAUCAGCAGGGAAGAAAAUGACGGUACCUGACUAAGAAGCACCGGCUAAAUACGUGCCAGCAGCCGCGGUAAUACGUAUGGUGCAAGCGUUAUCCGGAUUUACUGGGUGUAAAGGGAGCGUAGACGGAGAGGCAAGUCUGAUGUGAAAACCCGGGGCUCAACCCCGGGACUGCAUUGGAAACUGUUUUUCUAGAGUGUCGGAGAGGCAAGUGGAAUUCCUAGUGUAGCGGUGAAAUGCGUAGAUAUAUAGGAGGAACACCAGUGGCGAAGGCGGCUUGCUGGACGAUGACUGACGUUGAGGCUCGAAAGCGUGGGGAGCAAACAGGAUUAGAUACCCUGGUAGUCCACGCCGUAAACG